GACGAACGCUGGCGGCGUGCUUAACACAUGCAAGUCGAGCGCUGAAGCUCAGCUUUUGUUGGGUGGAUGAGUGGCGAACGGGUGAGUAACACGUGAGUAACCUGCCUCCUUCUUUGGGAUAACGCCCGGAAACGGGUGCUAAUACUGGAUAUUCACUGGUCUUCGCAUGGGGGUUGGUGGAAAGGGUUUUUCUGGUGGGGGAUGGGCUCGCGGCCUAUCAGCUUGUUGGUGGGGUGAUGGCCUACCAAGGCUUUGACGGGUAGCCGGCCUGAGAGGGUGACCGGUCACAUUGUGACUGGGAUGCGGCCCAGGCUCCUACGGGAGGCAGCAGUGGGGAAUAAUGCACAAUGGGCGCAAGAGUGAUGCAGCGACGCCGCGUGAGGGAUGGGGGCCUUAGGGUUGUGAACCUCUUUCGCUCAUGGUCAGGCCGCAACAAUGGUUGUGGUGAGGGUAGUGGGUAAAGAAGCGCCGGCUAACUACGUG
This 483-nucleotide ribosomal RNA is filed under the name uncultured bacterium. RNAcentral describes it as "partial 16S ribosomal RNA". It matches the Rfam family "Bacterial small subunit ribosomal RNA", at positions 28 to 507 of the family's 1533-position model. The record is from RNAcentral.